RNAcentral lists this ribosomal RNA (499 nucleotides) under uncultured bacterium. Its description in RNAcentral is "partial 16S ribosomal RNA". It matches the Rfam family "Bacterial small subunit ribosomal RNA", at positions 28 to 507 of the family's 1533-position model. The record is from RNAcentral.
GACGAACGCUGGCGGCGUGCCUAAUACAUGCAAGUCGAGCGAAGUUUUUCUGGUGCUUGCACUAGAAAAACUUAGCGGCGAACGGGUGAGUAACACGUAAAGAACCUGCCUCAUAGACUGGGACAACUAUUGGAAACGAUAGCUAAUACCGGAUAACAGUAUUUCUCGCAUGUGAGAUAUUUAAAAGUUGGUUAUGCUAACACUAUGAGAUGGCUUUGCGGUGCAUUAGCUAGUUGGUGGGGUAAAGGCCCACCAAGGCGACGAUGCAUAGCCGACCUGAGAGGGUGAUCGGCCACACUGGGACUGAGACACGGCCCAGACUCCUACGGGAGGCAGCAGUAGGGAAUCUUCCGCAAUGGGCGAAAGCCUGACGGAGCAACGCCGCGUGAGUGAAGAAGGAUUUCGGUUCGUAAAGCUCUGUUGUUAGGGAAGAAUGGAUAUGUAGUAACUAGACAUGUAAGAGACGGUACCUAACCAGAAAGCCACGGCUAACUACGUG